UACAGAGGUCUCAAGCGUUGUUCGGAUUCAUUGGGCGUAAAGGGUGCGUAGGCGGCGCGGUAAGUCGGGUGUGAAAUCUCGGGGCUUAACUCCGAAACUGCAUUCGAUACUGCCGUGCUUGAGGACUGGAGAGGAGAGUGGAAUUCCUGGUGUAGCGGUGAAAUGCGCAGAUAUCAGGAAGAACACCCGUGGCGAAGGCGGCUCUCUGGGACGGUACUGACGCUGAGACGCGAAAGCGUGGGGAGCGAACAGG
RNAcentral lists this ribosomal RNA (253 nucleotides) under uncultured bacterium. RNAcentral describes it as "partial 16S ribosomal RNA". It matches the Rfam family "Bacterial small subunit ribosomal RNA", at positions 524 to 776 of the family's 1533-position model. The record is from RNAcentral.